AACGCAACUUGCGCUUGCUUCUGGCAAGCAUGCCUGUUUGAGAAUCUAUAGCACACUUUAGCCGCUAGGCUGAGAGUUGGGCGCUGUUGGGAAACACGCCUGAAAGGAAUGGCUUGGAGGCAGCUGGGAUAGCGGCUGUCUGACCAGAGAGAUGAAGGGCUUGCCCACUUCCUCUGGGGCAGACAGUUGUUCGGCUGUUUGCAACGGACAUUUUUUGAACUUGGUCUCAAAUCAGGCAGGAGGACCCGCUGAACUUAA
This 258-nucleotide unclassified non-coding RNA is filed under the name uncultured fungus. RNAcentral describes it as "partial contains 5.8S ribosomal RNA, internal transcribed spacer 2, and large subunit ribosomal RNA". The record is from RNAcentral. Lineage: Eukaryota; Fungi.